Molecule: ribosomal RNA, 253 nt
Filed under: uncultured bacterium
Lineage: Bacteria
Description: partial 16S ribosomal RNA
Rfam family: Bacterial small subunit ribosomal RNA
Source: RNAcentral
UACGGAGGAGGCAAGCGUUAUCCGGAAUUAUUGGGCGUAAAGCGUCCGUAGGUGGCUAGUCAAGUCUGCGGUCAAAGACUGGGGCUUAACCCUGGAAAGGCCGUGGAAACUGACGAGCUAGAGUGCAGUAGGGGUAGAGGGAAUUCCUGGUGUAGCGGUGAAAUGCGCAGAUAUCAGGAGGAACACCAGCGGCGAAGGCGGCGCUCUGGGCCGGUACUGACACUGAGGAGCGAAAGCGUGGGGAGCAAACAGG